GAUGAACGCUAGCGGCAGGCUUAAUACAUGCAAGUCGUGGGGCAGCAGGUUUGUAGCAAUACAGAUGCUGGCGACCGGCAAACGGGUGCGGAACACGUACAGAACCUUCCUUUGAGCGGGGAAUAGCCCAGAGAAAUUUGGAUUAAUACCCCAUAGUAUAAUGAAGUGGCAUCACUUUAUUAUUAAAGAUUUAUCACUCGAAGAUGGCUGUGCGGCUGAUUAGGUAGUUGGCGGGGUAAAGGCCCACCAAGCCUGCGAUCAGUAACUGGUGUGAGAGCACGACCAGUCACACGGGCACUGAGACACGGGCCCGACUCCUACGGGAGGCAGCAGUAAGGAAUAUUGGUCAAUGGAGGCAACUCUGAACCAGCCAUGCCGCGUGGAGGAUGAAGGUCCUCUGGAUUGUAAACUUCUUUAUAUGGGGACGAAAAAAAGGCUUUUCUAAGUCGUCUGACGGUACCAUAUGAAUAAGCACCGGCUAACUCCGUGCCAGCAGCCGCGG
RNAcentral lists this ribosomal RNA (502 nucleotides) under uncultured bacterium. Its description in RNAcentral is "bacterial SSU rRNA". It matches the Rfam family "Bacterial small subunit ribosomal RNA", at positions 28 to 520 of the family's 1533-position model. The record is from RNAcentral.